RNAcentral lists this ribosomal RNA (618 nucleotides) under uncultured bacterium. RNAcentral's name for it is "bacterial SSU rRNA". The stretch from base 1 to 518 matches the Rfam family "Bacterial small subunit ribosomal RNA", at positions 338 to 873 of the family's 1533-position model. The record is from RNAcentral.
CCUACGGGAGGCAGCAGUGGGGAAUCUUGCGCAAUGGGCGAAAGCCUGACGCAGCCAUGCCGCGUGAAUGAUGAAGGUCUUAGGAUUGUAAAAUUCUUUCACCGAGGACGAUAAUGACGGUACUCGGAGAAGAAGCCCCGGCUAACUUCGUGCCAGCAGCCGCGGUAAUACGAAGGGGGCUAGCGUUGCUCGGAAUUACUGGGCGUAAAGGGAGCGUAGGCGGAUAGUUUAGUCAGAGGUGAAAGCCCAGGGCUCAACCUUGGAAUUGCCUUUGAUACUGGCUAUCUUGAGUACGGAAGAGGUAUGUGGAACUCCGAGUGUAGAGGUGAAAUUCGUAGAUAUUCGGAAGAACACCAGUGGCGAAGGCGACAUACUGGUCCGUUACUGACGCUGAGGCUCGAAAGCGUGGGGAGCAAACAGGAUUAGAUACCCUGGUAGUCCACGCUGUAAACGAUGAGUGCUAGUUGUCGGCAUGCAUGCAUGUCGGUGACGCAGCUAACGACAUAAGACACUCCGCCGUCGGGGUAGGUACGGUCGGCGAAGUAAGUUAAAACGUUAAAAGUUAGUAAGUUAGUUACGGCGUUGAGACGUGCCGACGGACGACGACGAGGGAGGAGG